UACGUAGGGACCAAGCGUUGUUCGGAUUUACUGGGCGUAAAGGGCGCGUAGGCGGCGUGUUAAGUCACUUGUGAAAUCUCUAAGCUUAACUUAGAACGGUCAAGUGAUACUGAUGUGCUAGAGUGCAGAAGGGGCAACCGGAAUUCUUGGUGUAGCGGUGAAAUGCGUAGAUAUCAAGAGGAACACCUGAGGCGAAGACGGGUUGCUGGGCUGACACUGACGCUGAGGCGCGAAAGCUAGGGUAGCAAACGGG
This 253-nucleotide ribosomal RNA is filed under the name uncultured bacterium. RNAcentral's name for it is "partial 16S ribosomal RNA". It matches the Rfam family "Bacterial small subunit ribosomal RNA", at positions 524 to 776 of the family's 1533-position model. The record is from RNAcentral.